RNAcentral lists this transfer RNA (77 nucleotides) under Acidobacteriota bacterium. RNAcentral's name for it is "tRNA-Arg". It matches the Rfam family "tRNA". Rfam says of the family: Transfer RNA (tRNA) molecules are approximately 80 nucleotides in length. Their secondary structure includes four short double-helical elements and three loops (D, anti-codon, and T loops). RNAcentral also lists the same sequence under 1 other name. Lineage: Bacteria; Pseudomonadati; Acidobacteriota. The record is from RNAcentral.
GGGCCUGUAGCUCAGAAGGAUAGAGCAGCGGUUUCCUAAACCGAAGGUCGGGGGUUCGAAUCCCUCCAGGCCUACCA